GCUGUUGAGUGAUGAGACUCUGGAAUGAGUGCUGGGCACGGCGCCCGAGUCAGGCUGUGGAAACAUUGCUUGCUGCCUUGCUUUUGAGAGCAGC
Small nucleolar RNA from Diceros bicornis minor, 94 nucleotides. RefSeq annotates it as small nucleolar RNA U83B. Lineage: Eukaryota; Metazoa; Chordata; Mammalia; Perissodactyla; Rhinocerotidae. The transcript has a single exon. The record is from RefSeq and is a predicted model, not a curated record.